AACGAACGCUGGCGGCAUGCCUAACACAUGCAAGUCGAACGAGACCUUCGGGUCUAGUGGCGCACGGGUGCGUAACGCGUGGGAACCUGCCCUUAGGUUCGGAAUAACUCCCCGAAAGGGGUGCUAAUACCGGAUAAUGUCUUCGGACCAAAGAUUUAUCGCCUUUGGAUGGGCCCGCGUUGGAUUAGCUAGUUGGUAGGGUAAAAGCCUACCAAGGCGACGAUCCAUAGCUGGUCUGAGAGGAUGAUCAGCCACACUGGGACUGAGACACGGCCCAGACUCCUACGGGAGGCGGCAGGGGGGAAUAUUGGACAAGGGGCGAAAGCCUGAUCCAGCAAUGCCGGGUGAGUGAUGAAGGCCUUGGGGUUGUAAAGCUCUUUUACCCGGGAUGAUAAUGACGGUACCGGGAAAAUAAGCCCCGGCUAACUCCGUG
RNAcentral lists this ribosomal RNA (433 nucleotides) under uncultured bacterium. Its description in RNAcentral is "partial 16S ribosomal RNA". It matches the Rfam family "Bacterial small subunit ribosomal RNA", at positions 29 to 507 of the family's 1533-position model. The record is from RNAcentral.